Molecule: ribosomal RNA, 427 nt
Filed under: uncultured microorganism
Description: bacterial SSU rRNA
Rfam family: Bacterial small subunit ribosomal RNA
Source: RNAcentral
GAGUUUGAUCAUGGCUCAGGAUGAACGCUGGCGGCGUGCCUAAUACAUGCAAGUCGAGCGAACAGACGGGGAGCUUGCUCCCCUGACGUUAGCGGCGGACGGGUGAGUAACACGUGGGUAACCUACCUAUAAGACUGGAAUAACUCCGGGAAACCGGGGCUAAUGCCGGAUAACACGUUGGACCGCAUGGUCCUACAGUGAAAGACGGUCUUGCUGUCACUUAUAGGUGGACCCGCGCCGUAUUAGCUAGUUGGUAAGGUAACGGCUUACCAAGGCAACGAUACGUAGCCGACCUGAGAGGGUGAUCGGCCACACUGGAACUGAGACACGGUCCAGACUCCUACGGGAGGCAGCAGUAGGGAAUCUUCCGCAAUGGGCGAAAGCCUGACGGAGCAACGCCGCGUGAGUGAUGAAGGCCUUCGGUCGU